Molecule: long non-coding RNA, 940 nt
Organism: Stegodyphus dumicola
Lineage: Eukaryota; Metazoa; Arthropoda; Arachnida; Araneae; Eresidae
Source: RefSeq, a predicted model, not a curated record
GUGAGCUUCAGUCUAGGUUGUUCUGCUUUUCAUAACUUGGUUAGCAGUUUGUUUUGAUUUUGUAUGUGUUUAGAAAGGGAAGUGGAAAAUGCAAUUCACCAUCCGGAAUUCGUUGCAAAAUUACAUUUUCAUCUAGGCCUAAUGAAGAACAAAAGGAUGCAUAAAGUUCCAAUAAAUGUUAUGGCAGUUUUAAUAUAAAUGUACUGAUAUUAUGCAAAAAGGCUAUGUACUCUCUAUUUAAAAUUAGAAAGAUAUUAUCAGUCUCACAGCCUGGAGGUGGUAAGGACGUGAACAUCGUACAUAGUGCUUAUUCAGAAACCAAGGAGCAUAGUGUUUUGGCUCUAGUUUGUGAUAAUGAUAGUACAUGUUAGUCAAAAGAUUGAGAACCAUUGAAACAAGAGCAGCUACUGCCAAUUAUUCCUUAUUGUCAUUUUUGCUCUCAAACUGUUCAACAGCAGCUACUGGUGCUGAGGAAGGCAUUGAAUACAAAGCAGAAUGAUGUUCAGCAAGAUGUAAUGCUGUAACUUAAUCAUGAGCUUUUUCUAAUGAAAUACUGGAAUUUUCCUAUAACUGUUCUGAUAUGCGUUGAUUCUUCAAACCUCAGAUGAUGCAUUCUUUAAUGUACUAAAUUUGAAUAUAUUCUCUAAUAUACUAAAUUUGAAGAAAAGUACUUUUGAAAUCGUGUCUACUGAUGUUUUAAGUGUUUGAUUGCAACUUCUGUUUUUGGAAAGGUUAUUUAUAAUUAUGAAAGGAACUCUAAGGUUAUCUCCUUUUCCGGUACAUAAGUUCAAAUUUCAGCAAACCUGUGGUACGCCAACUCUGCUGGUUUAAUAAUUCUGAAAAGCAAAUUAAAUCUCUAACAUUUGAUUCAGCAGGCUUGUGGCUGCUGCUAGUUACACAUGAUGCAACCAUAUAUAUUUUACCACUACUCCCACUUCUU